Molecule: ribosomal RNA, 625 nt
Filed under: Euplotes focardii
Lineage: Eukaryota; Ciliophora; Spirotrichea; Euplotida; Euplotidae
Description: partial Eukaryotic small subunit ribosomal RNA
Rfam family: Eukaryotic small subunit ribosomal RNA
Source: RNAcentral
CAGGUGCCAGCAGCCGCGGUAAUUCCAGCUCCAAUAGCGUAUAUUAAAGUUGUUGCAGUUAAAAAGCUCGUAGUUGGAUUUGUGGUUGGAGAGGUCCGCCGUUGCUAUGCUUCGUGUUGGAUCUUUCCGUCCAUCCUUGGGUGGAUCCUGUGUGGCAUUCAGUUGUCGUGCAGGGGAUGCCCAUCGUUUACUGUGAAAAAAUUAGAGUGUUCAAAGCAGGCUUACGCCUUGAAUAUAUUAGCAUGGAAUAAUAAGAUAGGACCUGGGUACUAUUUUGUUGGUUUGCGCACCGAGGUAAUGAUUAAUAGGGACAGUUGGGGGUAUUCGUAUUCCAUUGUCAGAGGUGAAAUUCUUGGAUUUUUGGAAGACGAACUACUGCGAAAGCAUUUACCAAGGAUGUUUUCAUUAAUCAAGAACGAAAGUUAGGGGAUCGAAGACGAUCAGAUACCGUCGUAGUCUUAACUAUAAACUAUGCCGACCAGGGAUUUGAGAACGUUACUUUUUUGGAUGACUUCUUCAGCACCUUGUGAGAAAUCAUAAGUGUUUAGGUUCAGGGGGGAGUACGGUCGCAAGUCUGAAACUUAAAGGAAUUGACGGAGGGGCACCACCAGGAGUGGAGCCUGCG